Molecule: transfer RNA, 74 nt
Filed under: Endomicrobium sp.
Lineage: Bacteria; Pseudomonadati; Elusimicrobiota; Endomicrobiia; Endomicrobiales; Endomicrobiaceae
Description: tRNA-Glu
Rfam family: tRNA
About the family: Transfer RNA (tRNA) molecules are approximately 80 nucleotides in length. Their secondary structure includes four short double-helical elements and three loops (D, anti-codon, and T loops). Further hydrogen bonds mediate the characteristic L-shaped molecular structure. tRNAs have two regions of fundamental functional importance: the anti-codon, which is responsible for specific mRNA codon recognition, and the 3' end, to which the tRNAs corresponding amino acid is attached (by aminoacyl-tRNA synthetases). tRNAs cope with the degeneracy of the genetic code in two manners: having more than one tRNA (with a specific anti-codon) for a particular amino acid; and 'wobble' base-pairing, i.e. permitting non-standard base-pairing at the 3rd anti-codon position.
Source: RNAcentral
GCUCCCAUCGUCUAGUAGGCUUAGGACACAGGAUUUUCAAUCCUGCAACACGAGUUCAAAUCUCGUUGGGAGCA